AUAAAGGCAAUAGCUCGAGCCUUGUCAAGGGACAAGGCCAAUGGGUAUUGACCGUUUAUUCAAUGCCUCCCGUGUUUGGAAAGAGUUAUGGGUAACCAAUCU
RNAcentral lists this non-coding RNA (102 nucleotides) under Youngiibacter fragilis 232.1. RNAcentral describes it as "Clostridium sp. 232.1 Molybdenum/Tungsten riboswitch aptamer (Moco RNA motif)". It matches the Rfam family "Molybdenum/Tungsten riboswitch aptamer (Moco RNA motif)". RNAcentral also lists the same sequence under 1 other name. The record is from Rfam by way of RNAcentral. Lineage: Bacteria; Bacillati; Bacillota; Clostridia; Eubacteriales; Clostridiaceae.